CACCCCCGAGACUUCCACCCCCAGCACUUCCUGGAUGAGAAGGGCCAGUUUAAGAAGAGUGAUGCUUUCGUGCCCUUCUCCAUCGGAAAGCGGUACUGUUUCGGAGAAGGCCUGGCCAGAAUGGAGCUCUUUCUGUUCCUCACCACCAUCUUGCAGAACUUCUGCUUCAAGUCCCCUCAGCUGCCCCAAGACAUUGACGUGUCCCCCAAAUGUGUGGGCUUUGCCACCAUCCCACGCAAUUACACCAUGAGCUUCCAGCCCCGCUGAGCAAGGGCUGUUCUGGAUCAGGGCUGGGGGAGGAGCAAGGAUGUGGGAGGGGCAGAGUCGGGGAUAUCAUGAGGGGCGGUGUUAGUGGAGGGCGGAGCUGGCAGGAGGGAGGUGACUUAGGGAAAUCUGAGGGUGAAGGUGGACAGGAGAGGAAGAGGAAAGGAAUGGACUUUGUUUACCUUGCUAGAGAUAGAUGGUUCAGAGGCAGAAAUAGAGGAAGGGAAACUUCACAUGAUACUGUUAAUAAUAACACCUAUUAUUUGUUGAAAUCUGUGUCAGUUCUGAGCUAUAAACAUUACGCUCUUACUUCACUUAAUACUCACAAAUCUGUGUGACUGGGAAUAGUGUUCAUGCCAUUUUACAAAGGUUAACCGAUUCCCCAGGAGGCUAUAAGAACUAAUUCUUUUAAUAAAGGAGUUUAGAAAGGGCACUAAA
Suricata suricatta (meerkat) is the source of this 702-nucleotide long non-coding RNA. RefSeq lists it as uncharacterized. The record is from RefSeq and is a predicted model, not a curated record. The transcript is spliced from 2 exons. NCBI's taxonomy places the organism in Eukaryota, Metazoa, Chordata, Mammalia, Carnivora, Herpestidae.